This 841-nucleotide unclassified non-coding RNA is filed under the name Hevea brasiliensis (rubber tree). The record is from RNAcentral. Lineage: Eukaryota; Viridiplantae; Streptophyta; Magnoliopsida; Malpighiales; Euphorbiaceae.
GAGCAUUCCACGAUUUCUGAAUUUUCCGUCACGGACGAGGAGCUAGACCGCUCAUUCCCUGUGGGAGAAUUUAAUGGUUACUGUUAUAGUGUUGCUCAGAGCAGUAGUGUUGUGGUAUGUGAAGAACCUGAGGCGAUGCCGCCACCAAUGCCUCACAGUAGUUGUUCAGUGAGUUCAGUUACUGGCCUUCCGUUUGGGGAGUUGAGACAAAGAAAUGUAAUGGUCAAUGGAGUGAGCGAAGAGAGUGUUGGGUCACCACAGAUUGCCGAGAGAGAAAGUGAAAGUGUUAAGGAAUUGGAAUCGAGGUCAAACUCGAGAGUUGAAAUGGAUUUGAAUAUGGAUGGGAUUGCAGGAAGGAGUUUGGAGAAGGAGGUCUCUUUAGAUUGGAAGAGGUUGAUGGCUGAAGAUCCCAACCAAACAUUUCCUGUGGAUAAGUCGCCAGUGAAGUGCUUCAUGGAAGAGAUGUAUGCUGGUAAUUCGUUAAGGAGUACGGUUGCCCUUGGGAAUGAGAAAGAGCGGGAAAGAGUUUAUGAUACCAUAUUCCGCUUACCAUGGCGAUGUGAGCUGCUUAUUAAUGUUGGCGUUUUUGUCUGCUUGGAUUCAUUCCUCUCACUGCUUACUGUCAUGCCCACGAGGUUAAUCAUGAUCUGUUGGAGGUUUCUGAAAACAAGGCAGUUCAAGAAGCUUUCCGCGGUUGAGCUUUCUGAUAUUGGCUGUUGUGUUGCCCUGUCUAGUGGAGCGAUUUUGUUGCAACAAACAGAUAUCAGCCUAAUCUAUCACAUGAUUCGUGGUCAAGGAACAAUCAAGCUUUAUGUGGUUUACAAUGUGUUGGAGGUUUUUG